GGUAUCAGAACAUCUGUGAAAGGUCAACAGAUAGGGCAUCAAGAAUAAAGGGGCACUCAAGGAUGAGGUGCCUGGGUGCCUCACAAUCUAUAGUAGCACGUGAACUCAGUCUGGCUCUGACCCACAGUAGAACAAGGUAGUAUCCAGCCAAGGGAAAACAAAAGAAGGGAAAAUAGCCUGAAUACACUGCAGCAGAACUGGCUUCUACCACACCAAGCGGAAGUCUCUUCCUGAUCUGUCAGGCAACAGGGCUGUUAGGCAGAACUCUCUCCUAUCUGCCCCGGAACACCUGCUCACAUUUUGGACUGAAACCAAGAUCCCAUAAACUGAGAUGGCCUUGCAUCACGCUCAGCGCAAGUUCCGUUUCUCUCUGUACGCUCAUAUCAAGUUGGACGCAAUUAAGCAGGUCUUCUGGUGACCGUCUGUCUUUUCGUUGAAGAGGCCAGAAGCAUCAAAGGGUUUCGGCGCUGAAGCGGAUUUCUGGGUUGCAGCCUUCUUAGGAGCAGACUUUUUUUAGGCUUCUCUGCCCGC
This is a non-coding RNA of Pogona vitticeps (central bearded dragon), 531 nucleotides long. Lineage: Eukaryota; Metazoa; Chordata; Lepidosauria; Squamata; Agamidae. The record is from RefSeq and is a predicted model, not a curated record.